Molecule: long non-coding RNA, 894 nt
Organism: Rhagoletis pomonella (apple maggot)
Lineage: Eukaryota; Metazoa; Arthropoda; Insecta; Diptera; Tephritidae
Exons: 3
Source: RefSeq, a predicted model, not a curated record
UACCCGAUGCGUAUUAGAGUUAUCUCAGUAUACGAAUUUUAUAAUUUUUUGUUUGGCCAAUCUGGCCACGCUGGUUGCCUCCGAAGAACGUAAAUUAUAAAUUACGUUCUUCAUUGACAUUUCAAGAACAUCAAUUGCAGCUAAAUUAAGAGUUUCCUGAAUGAACACGAGGCGAACGUCUAUUUAGCCGGUUCUCAGCUGUAGGAACGGGAGUUGCUUCACGACACGAAAUUCCUGUGACGGCGAAAUUGCAAGCGUUUACGCUGUUUGCAAAAAUCAAUCCAGCAUGCAUAUUCUCGUAGAGUUGGUUAAUUCAGCGCGUUUGUUUAAUAAAAGUCUAGAGCGCAUAAACUAUUGGCACAUUGUUCGGUUCGACAUCGAAUCAAUGGUGCCUGCGCUCCAAGAAUGCGAUUCAUGAUGCUCGACUCUCAACAGCGAGUGUGGCAGCAGUCGCGAUGACCAUUAAAGGCGGUAGUGGUGCAUUACGCUUGAAAAUUCCUUCAGAUUUUCGUGAGGUCGGUGAUAUUGCGGUUGCUUUUAUGACAAUAGCCCCAAUGAGAAAUUCGUCGGAAUCACGAAAGGUACUAAUGGCAAGAGAUGAGCCUCGGUGCAUGAACCGAUUGGUUGCUGAUGACUUACGUCCGCCUAAGGGCCUGGUACACUAUCGGCGUGAUAUCAGCGUCCGAGUUGAGGUAGUUUUGGGUCCUUGACGAACUCCUGCGAGUGCAAUGAAUUUAAAGUACCAGCGCUUCCAUUAUCCUCGCAAACACAGUUCCUCGCAAGACAAGUACCGACAUGAGAUCUCGUAUGAACCUGGAAUGUUCCUGCAGCCUACUAUGCCACAGUUAGUCGAGGUAUGCUCCCGGUUAAAGGAUUAUUAGGAGCCCAGAAUCA